This 927-nucleotide small RNA is filed under the name Vigna angularis var. angularis. RNAcentral's name for it is "Non-protein coding transcript". The record is from RNAcentral. Lineage: Eukaryota; Viridiplantae; Streptophyta; Magnoliopsida; Fabales; Fabaceae.
CAGAGCACGAAGGUUUUGGAGCAGAGGGACUUUAGAGCUGUGAUUUGAGUCGGAGGAACGUUCGCAAAGUGUUUUCGAAAGGCUAGCUAAGGAGAAAACCUGUAGAAUAGAGUUCCAAGGAGGAACUCCUUGUUGAUUUUGUGUCAAGUACUGUACGUAUGAAUAUAGGAACUCCGACUUAGGGGUUCAUUCUUAUGCUCUCAAUAGUCUCGAUCUCACUUAGAGAGAAAGCUAUGUGGUGGAGAGUGGGAAAUCCUUACCGAAGAUCUACAGUGGGGUGGACAGAGUAGGAAGGAUGUAGCUUCAGUGGUUUUAUUCAUAUCCGAAGAUCCAGUUUGGGGGACAGAGUAGGAUAGAAUAAUUGAGCUAGCUAAUAAGUGCAUCCAUAUUCGAAGAUCCAGUUUGGGGGACAGAGUAGGAUGGGAUGUAGCUGAGUAAAGUACCACUGUAAGUAUAGAACUAGCUAAGAGUUCAAUAUUCAUACGAUUAUCUGGAUGAGUGAAUUUACGAUGAGUAUGGUAUGUUUAUAGUAUUAUUGAGUAAUUUAACUUGUAAGUUGGAAAAUUAGUUAUUUAUGUAAUUUACCAUAACAUUUUAUGUUGCAUUAGCUCACCCUUGCUUUGUAUGUUGUGUGGUUGCUAUUUUGUGUUAUGUAUUUUGUCUGGCGAUGAUCAUCCGGUGGAUGGGAGCAGAAGUUGCUGUUAUGCCGGUGGAGCAAGCUUUAGAUGGAGGAUCGACGGAAGCUUAGUUAUAAGAAAGAGCCUUAUAAUUUUAGUCUAUGUUUUAAGUGUGAACUGUAUUUUCGUUUGAAUAUGAGUGAGGGUUUGUAUAAUAAUGAGGAAAACUGUUAUUCCUCCUCCUAUCAACUGUUCUAUUGUAUCAAUGAUGUAAGAACUCUAUUAUAGUUUAAUGCUAUAAUAAUUGGGA